Long non-coding RNA from Piliocolobus tephrosceles (Ugandan red Colobus), 2900 nucleotides. RefSeq lists it as uncharacterized. The record is from RefSeq and is a predicted model, not a curated record. The transcript has 3 exons. NCBI's taxonomy places the organism in Eukaryota, Metazoa, Chordata, Mammalia, Primates, Cercopithecidae.
GAGCCCCAGGAUGAGGCACACAUUCAAGAAAAAUUCAUGCCUCUCCAUCUUUUCCCCAGGAUUGCCCUUUGGGGAGACUCUCCUUUGCGAUUGCUUCACCUUCCCCGGUUCAUAGAACAAACUUCUUCUCAGUCUCUUUUGUUGUCUCUUGUCUGUUCAACAAACACCCACUAUGCAGGACCAUCCUCGGGGUACCAGGCACCAGGCUGUUAAGCUGUGGAUGGGCAACCGCACAUCGCAUUGGAUGUGGUAUUUCAGCGCGUGGAGUUGGCCAGUGAAGCCGGCGGAGGUCGACACAGCCUACAGCAGCGCGCGUGUCCGUGGGGAGGAAGGGUCCUCCCGCCUCCCCCCAGGCCAGUCCUGUUGCGCCUCCUCCUGCCCCACUCUGACUUUCGCGCGCCCAGGUGUCUCUGAGGGUCGCGCCCCGAUACCCUCCUCCACCCCAAGGCUGCUUCUCCCCAAGGGCCGGGCUGGGGGCCCAGGAGGGCCACAGCCCCCAUGGGCCCGGGAAAUCGUAGCUUCCUCAUAGCUAAGCCCGCCGCGCUCAGCUUUUCCCACCACCUGGAGGAUCCACUCUCCAUCCAUCCUUCCCGACCUCAGGCUGCAGAGAAAACUUGGGGGCGGGGUCGAGGAAGCCGCGCCCCGAGGCUCCCAGCGCAGCCCCAGGAGGAAUCCUGCCGGGAACUACAAGCCGUGCGGGCGGCCCUGCUCGGCGCCGACAACAGCCCGAGCGGCCAGGCCUGCCGCCAGCCUCCGCAUCCAGGUGGGGUCUCCGCGCCCCAAUUCCACCCCACACCGCCAUCGGCGCUCCGGGCAAGUGCGGGGUUUCCACCCGCCCUGGCGUUGGCGCCCACUCACGGUCUUCCUCGCCCCCUCGGGAGACGCUCCCUGCGUUCUAUCCCACCCCGCCCUGGCAGCCCCGCAAACGAUGUGACCCCGCCCCCCUGCGGUCUCCCCUCCCCCAAACGCUGCCCCUGCCCCCACUUGGGGAGCUCCCGGCAUCUCUAAAGCCCUCAACCAGAGUCCUCCAACCCACCCGCGAGGCUCGCGCACCAGCAAAGCGGCCCCACCCGCAGGGACCCCGCCACCUGUGGCGCUACCCCCGCCUCUGCGGCCUUCCUCACCGCUAGCGCGGCCCCCACCUACGACGACCCCCGCGUAGGUGCUCCUGCCCACACCCCCCCGCCCCCGCCAGCUCUGCCCCUUUCCCUGCCCCUGCCCCUAGCCGCGCCCCCGCCCCCGCAGCCCCUCCCGUGCGCUCGGGCCCCGCCUGUCACCGCCCAUUGGCGCUGGGGCCGGGCGGGGCGGUCGUUCCGAGUCCGGCGCGCGCGGGCAGAGUCACCAUUGCCUGCUGCGCACCCGGACUAGCGGCUGCCUUCGGCCUCCUCGCCAUGGACGCGGAUGACUCCCAGGCCCCCAAGGGCUCCUUGCGGAAGUUCCUGGAGCACUUCUCCGGGCCGGCAAGGCCAUCGGCGUGCUGACCAGCGGCGGGGACGCUCAAGAUGCGUGGAAAGGCCCGGAUGGCGGAUUUCUUCCCGUUUGGACCGCGCACUGCACAAGGAUGGAGCGGGGAUGGGCCCACAGCCCACCGCCCGGUGACCUUCCCUUCACCCUUGAGCGCGCGGGGUGGGCGCGGGCGCUGCAGGUUGGGGCGCUGUGGGCGCCGCCCCGCCCCUCGCGAGCGCCUACGUGAUGCCGGCCGGUCGUCUGCGUGCGCCCAGGCCCCGAAAUCCGUACGCGGCGCGCUCCCCCAGCCCGCAGGGCAGCCUCCCCAGGCCCAGCGCCCGGGCGGGAGACCCCGGUGGCAGCGCCAGGCCCCGCCCCGCAGCCCGCUCCCCAGCGCCCCUGGGAAGUGCUCUGGCUUUAGCGUUCUAGUUAAAGGACCCCAGCGUCAGCAUUCCUCCUGCAGGGUUGCGUUCUCAGAGAAAGAAAACGUGAUGCAGCAGAGGCUGGGAUUGGAGAAAUUAGGAGAGUGAAGUGGAAAUAGCCUGGCCAGCGUGACUUAAACCGGCGGGGAGAUGUGCGAGUAGGAAUGGAGCCGCCUUGGGGUCGGGAUAGGACCCAGAGUGGCUUCUCAGUCAAAGGCCUUCAGAGGCAGAGGGAGCAUCUUGAGUGACCUUACCCGGGCCGCGAAAGACAAGAAACCUUUGGCACGGGAAGAGGCACUGACCUCUGGAAGCCACCAGGGCGGGUGUACGGUCAGGGUUUCAAGGUUAUUUUGGAAUUUAGUUGCUGUGGGUCCUGCACGGUGGCUCAUGCUUGUCAUCCCAGUGUAUUGGGAGGCCGAGGCAGGAGGAUUGCUUGAGCCCAGGAGUUCCAGAGCAGCCUGGACAACAUAGUGAGACUCUGUGUCUGCAAAAAAUAAAAAAGAAAGAAAAAAACAUUAAGAUGCUGUGUGUAUUGGAAAGUAUUUAUGGGUCAUUCUUUUGAGUUCCAUGUCCAAAAGCUUGCUGAAAUGCUUGAGAGUUUGUGUGCAGGCAUGUGAGAUUAGGAUACAUUGGCAGAACAGCCGUGUUCUCUGUUGCCCUGGUUUUGCCACCUGGGAGGAGUUACACGUAUUGAAGGUUAGUAAGUCCACGCCUCUUUGCUUCUGGGGAAAAAGGUACUUUGGAAACCAGUAUUAUGUGGGAACGUGUCUUGGUUGGUACAGCCUCGGGUUAAUGGGAGACAGCUGCCCUCAGCUCUGCAGGUAGCAUCAAAUACGGUGGCCUCGAGCCCACAUGGGUCACACCUGGGCUGUCCCUGGGGAAGCCCGCCACGGCGGGUCGCCUGGGCAUUCUUUCCCUGGCAGAGCCGAAGUCACAAUUUGUUUGCAGACUCUGUAAAGAACUUUACCCUUCCGAGAUAUGAUCUCGAACGUGUUGGAGCAUUUGGACGCAUUUCUUUUAAGGAAGUUCACC